UGUCUCAGUACAAGCCAAAUUAAGGUGAAACCGCGAAAGGCUCAUUAAAUCAGUUAUGGUUCCUUAGAUCGUACCCACGUUACUUGGAUAACUGUGGUAAUUCUAGAGCUAAUACAUGCAAACAGAGCUCCGACCGGAGACGGAAGGAGCGCUUUUAUUAGAUCAAAACCAAUCGGUGGCGGUUUCCGUCAUCGUACAACUUGGUGACUCUGAAUAACUUUACGCUGAUCGCACGGUCUUGCACCGGCGACGCAUCUUUCAAAUGUCUGCCUUAUCAACUGUCGAUGGUAGGUUCUGCGCCUACCAUGGUUGUAACGGGUAACGGGGAAUCAGGGUUCGAUUCCGGAGAGGGAGCCUGAGAAACGGCUACCACAUCCAAGGAAGGCAGCAGGCGCGCAAAUUACCCACUCCCGGCACGGGGAGGUAGUGACGAAAAAUAACGAUACGGGACUCAUCCGAGGCCCCGUAAUCGGAAUGAGUACACUCUAAACCCUUUAACGAGGAUCAAUUGGAGGGCAAGUCUGGUGCCAGCAGCCGCGGUAAUUCCAGCUCCAAUAGCGUAUAUUAAAGUUGUUGCGGUUAAAAAGCUCGUAGUCGAAUCUGUGUCCCGCGCCGCCGGUUCAUCGUUCGCGGUGUUAACUGGCGUGCCGCGGGACGUCCUGCCGGUGGGCUUAGCUCGCGAGGGCGGCCCAACUCAAUCCCGCCGCGGUGCUCUUCAUUGAGUGUCGAGGUGGGCCGGCACGUUUACUUUGAACAAAUUAGAGUGCUUAAAGCAGGCUAAAACUUUGCCUGAAUACUGUGUGCAUGGAAUAAUGGAAUAGGACCUCGGUUCUAUUUUGUUGGUUUUCGGAGCCCCNNNUAAUGAUUAAUAGGAACGGAUGGGGGCAUUCGUAUUGCGACG
Molecule: ribosomal RNA, 901 nt
Filed under: Isopteron tuberculatum
Lineage: Eukaryota; Metazoa; Arthropoda; Insecta; Coleoptera; Tenebrionidae
Description: SSU rRNA
Rfam family: Eukaryotic small subunit ribosomal RNA
Source: RNAcentral